GACGAACGCUGGCGGCGUGCUUGACACCCUUUAGUCGAACGGAAAGGCCCUGCUUUUGUGGGGUGCUCGAGUGGCGAACGGGUGAGUAACACGUGAGUAACCUGCCCUUGACUUUGGGAUAACUUCAGGAAACUGGGGCUAAUACCGGAUAGGAGCUCCUGCUGCAUGGUGGGGGUUGGAAAGUUUCGGCGGUUGGGGAUGGACUCGCGGCUUAUCAGCUUGUUGGUGGGGUAGUGGCUUACCAAGGCUUUGACGGGUAGCCGGCCUGAGAGGGUGACCGGCCACAUUGGGACUGAGAUACGGCCCAGACUCCUACGGGAGGCAGCAGUGGGGAAUACUGCACAAUGGGCGGAAGCCUGAUGCAGCAACGCCGCGUGCGGGAUGACGGCCUUCGGGUUGUAAACCGCUUUCGCCUGUGACGAAGCGUGAGUGACGGUAAUGGGUAAAGAAGCACCGGCUAACUACGUGCCAGCAGCCGCGGUGAUACGUAGGGUGCGAGCGUUGUCCGGAUUUAUUGGGCGUAAAGGGCUCGUAGGUGGUUGAUCGCGUCGGAAGUGUAAUCUUGGGGCUUAACCCUGAGCGUGCUUUCGAUACGGGUUGACUUGAGGAAGGUAGGGGAGAAUGGAAUUCCUGGUGGAGCGGUGGAAUGCGCAGAUAUCAGGAGGAACACCAGUGGCGAAGGCGGUUCUCUGGGCCUUUCCUGACGCUGAGGAGCGAAAGCGUGGGGAGCGAACAGGCUUAGAUACCCUGGUAGUCCACGCUGUAAACGGUGGGUACUAGGUGUGGGGUCCAUUCCACGGGUUCCGUGCCGUAGCUAACGCUUUAAGUACCCCGCCUGGGGAGUACGGCCGCAAGGCUAAAACUCAAAGGAAUUGACGGGGCCCCGCACAAGCGGCGGAGCAUGCGGAUUAAUUCGAUGCAACGCGUAGAACCUUACCUGGGUUUGACAUGGAUCGGGAGUGCUCAGAGAUGGGUGUGCCUCUUUUGGGGUCGGUUCACAGGUGGUGCAUGCCUGUCGUCAGCUCGUGUCGUGAGAUGUUGGGUUAAGUCCCGCAACGAGCGCAACCCUUGUUCACUGUUGCCAGCACGUUAUGGUGGGGACUCAGUGGAGACCGCCGGGGUCAACUCGGAGGAAGGUGGGGAUGACGUCAAGUCAUCAUGCCCCUUAUGUCCAGGGCUUCACGCAUGCUACAAUGGCUGGUACAGAGAGUGGCGAGCCUGUGAGGGUGAGCGAAUCUCGGAAAGCCGGUCUCAGUUCGGAUUGGGGUCUGCAACUCGACCUCAUGAAGUCGGAGUCGCUAGUAAUCGCAGAUCAGCAACGCUGCGGUGAAUACGAUGGCGGGGCU
This 1346-nucleotide ribosomal RNA is filed under the name uncultured bacterium. RNAcentral's name for it is "partial 16S ribosomal RNA". It matches the Rfam family "Bacterial small subunit ribosomal RNA", at positions 28 to 1381 of the family's 1533-position model. The record is from RNAcentral.